GACGAACGCUGGCGGCGUGCCUAAUACAUGCAAGUCGAGCGGACUGAUUAAGAGCUUGCUCUUAUGACGUUAGCGGCGGACGGGUGAGUAACACGUGGGCAACCUGCCCUGUAGAUCGGGAUAACACCGAGAAAUCGGUGCUAAUACCGGGUAAUAUCUGAGAUCACAUGAUCUUAGGUUAAAAGAUGGCUCCGGCUAUCACUACAGGAUGGGCCCGCGGCGCAUUAGCUAGUUGGUAAGGUAAUGGCUUACCAAGGCGACGAUGCGUAGCCGACCUGAGAGGGUGAACGGCCACACUGGGACUGAGACACGGCCCAGAAUCCUACGGGAGGCAGCAGUAGGGAAUCUUCCGCAAUGGACGAAAGUCUGACGGAGCAACGCCGCGUGAGUGAUGAAGGGUUUCGGCUCGUAAAGCUCUGUUGUUAGGGAAGAAACAGUACCGAACGAACUAGGUCGGUACCUUGACGGUACCUAACCAGAAAGCCACGGCUAACUACGUG
Molecule: ribosomal RNA, 500 nt
Filed under: uncultured bacterium
Lineage: Bacteria
Description: partial 16S ribosomal RNA
Rfam family: Bacterial small subunit ribosomal RNA
Source: RNAcentral